AAAAUUUAUUCGUAUUUGUCCCCCUCGCUUUCAAACAGUGUUCUAGCAGAGGCACUGGGCAAUUGGGCAUUUAUCCAGCGGUGGAUGUGAUCUACGUAGCCUCCUUGCUGACGUUAUCAUACAGUCUCUUUACCAUAAGAUUUUCACGCGUGUUGAUUCUCGCCGAGUAUCUUUCGUUAAUGGUUUUAAGAAUUCGUUCGAACUAAUGGGACAAUGUCUGGAUUGUUGUUUGUAUCGUUCUUCACGUACGUAAUACGGAAAACACCUCCACGAUUCCCAGACAUAGACAUUGAUGAAAAUGUACGAAAACGUUUGAAACGAAAAAUACGGUAAAAUAUAAUAUUUUUCGUUAUAUAUAUGUAUAAUAUAGUUAGUUAGUAUAAUUAGUUUUAUAUUUUUAUCGUACAUUGAAAGAGAUUCACGAGCCAGAAAAUAAAAUCUAUAACAAUCUGUGUAGAUGGAUCCAUAGUUCCGUGGAGGUGUCGACUAUUUUGAACGAAUUUUGUAAAACUAUUUAAAAUUUCAAAUAAAACUCGUAAGUAUGGAAGAAAAUUACAUAUGCUGAAAGGAAAGGAUGAAUACAAUGUUUUUUAAUUUAUGCCGGUGUUAGAGAUAACAAGAUCAAACGACAAGGACACGCUAGUAAAGUUAUGCAUAAAUUUAUGGGCGACCUGAAACAUUCAGGUCGGUUUCUAUAUAUACAUAAUUUUUACAGCAGCAUAUAAUUUACCUCCGAGCUGCUUCAAGGAAAAACUUACAUGAUUCGCAUUCUUGGAGCCAUUGGAAAGCCAAUAAUCCUACCUUUGUAAUAAAAAGGGAACUUUCUGAAAAGAUGAUCCAACAAUGAACCAACGAUGAUGCAAAUGGAAAGAUGAAAGAGAGUAAUCGUUUACCAGCCUCGUGGAAAGAAGAGGCGGACAACAACAAAAAAGAAAGAAAAAGACACGAGAGAUGAAACAUGCCGAGUAUGUCAAUCACACCAAAAAGAGAGAGAGAGAGAGAGAGAGAGAAAAGGAUAAGUACAUUUUAUCCUGGUUGACCAGGGAAGCCAGGCUUACGCCUAUCAUGUUUUACCCAACUUUACAGGAACUCAAAAUUUUAUAAAGUCUUGUUUUUGAAAUUAAAUGUCUGCAAAUGACGACAAUUAUGAUUAUAAUUCCGUAAACAACAAUUUUGAAAAUUAUUAUGACAAUUCUGUAAAUGAACAUCUGUAAACUGUAAUAAUAACAACAAGAACAGUUCUGAAAAUAAAGAUUAGAAAUAUUAUAUGUAUAGAAA
Long non-coding RNA from Bombus pyrosoma, 1278 nucleotides. RefSeq lists it as uncharacterized. The record is from RefSeq and is a predicted model, not a curated record. NCBI's taxonomy places the organism in Eukaryota, Metazoa, Arthropoda, Insecta, Hymenoptera, Apidae. The transcript has 2 exons.